GCACAAGCGGUGGAGCAUGUGGUUUAAUUCGACGCAACGCGCAGAACCUUACCAGGGUUUGACAUCCUGCGACCGCUCCCUAAUAGGAGUUUUCCCGCAAGGGACGCAGAGACAGGUGCUGCAUGGCUGUCGUCAGCUCGUGUCGUGAGAUGUUGGGUUAAGUCCCGCAACGAGCGCAACCCUCGUCCUGUAUUGCCAGCAGCGGUUUCGGCCGGCUGGGGACUUGCGGGAGACUGCCGGGGUCAACUCGGAGGAAGGUGGGGACGACGUCAAAUCAUCAUGCCCCUUAUGUCCUGGGCUGCACGCAUGCUACAAUGGCCGGUACAGAGGGCUGCGAUACCGUGAGGUGGAGCGAAUCCCUUAAAGCCGGUCUCAGUUCGGAUCGGGGUCUGCAACUCGACCCCGUGAAGUCGGAGUCGCUAGUAAUCGCAGAUCAGCAACGCUGCGGUGAAUACGUUCCCGGGC
RNAcentral lists this ribosomal RNA (465 nucleotides) under uncultured bacterium. RNAcentral describes it as "bacterial SSU rRNA". It matches the Rfam family "Bacterial small subunit ribosomal RNA", at positions 923 to 1379 of the family's 1533-position model. The record is from RNAcentral.